UGUGGGAGCGAGCCUGCUCGCGAUAGCGGUGGGUCAGGCAACAAUUGUGCUGAAGCUGACACUGCUAUCGCGAGCAGGCUCGCUCCCACA
This 90-nucleotide unclassified non-coding RNA is filed under the name Pseudomonas sp. A214. The record is from RNAcentral. Lineage: Bacteria; Pseudomonadati; Pseudomonadota; Gammaproteobacteria; Pseudomonadales; Pseudomonadaceae.